Molecule: non-coding RNA, 207 nt
Organism: Caenorhabditis elegans
Lineage: Eukaryota; Metazoa; Nematoda; Chromadorea; Rhabditida; Rhabditidae
Source: Ensembl
UUCUAGUGGCUCUCUUUAUUGCGCAAUUCUGCACAGAGAGAUGUGUGAGCAGAACGGGGACUGUUGUUGCGAGGUGAGAGAGCACGGUUUGGUACUGGUGUGUUCAUGUGAUAUAUGUACAACGUCCCCUGUUGUGCAUACAACAAUCUUCCCUUUCGCUGUGCAUUGCGUCUCAGAUGUUAAAGAGCUAUCUCACAAAAUUUCUGA